AGUGAACGCUGGCGGCGUGCUUAACACAUGCAAGUCGAACGAGAACGGAUUAUAGCUUGCUAUAAUUGUCAGCUAAGUGGCGCACGGGUGAGUAAUGUAUAGGUAAUAUGCCUCUUACUAAGGGAUAACAAUUGGAAACGAUUGCUAAUACCUUAUAUUCCAUUUUAUCAAAAGAUAAAAAGGGAAAGAUUUAUUGGUAAGAGAUUAGCCUGUAUUGUAUCAGUUAGUUGGUGGGGUAAUGGCCUACCAAGACGAUGACGCAUAACUGGUUUGAGAGGAUGAUCAGUCACACUGGAACUGAGACACGGUCCAGACUCCUACGGGAGGCAGCAGUGGGGAAUAUUGCACAAUGGACGAAAGUCUGAUGCAGCAACGCCGCGUGGAGGAUGACACAUUUCGGUGCGUAAACUCCUUUUAUAUAAGAAGAUAAUGACGGUAUUAUAUGAAUAAGCACCGGCUAACUCCGUGCCAGCCGCCGCAGUAA
This 484-nucleotide ribosomal RNA is filed under the name uncultured bacterium. Its description in RNAcentral is "partial 16S ribosomal RNA". It matches the Rfam family "Bacterial small subunit ribosomal RNA", at positions 29 to 523 of the family's 1533-position model. The record is from RNAcentral.